GAAUUUUGGACAAUGGGGGCAACCCUGAUCCAGCCAUCCCGCGUGUGCGAUGAAGGCCUUCGGGUUGUAAAGCACUUUUGGCAGGGAAGAAAAGGCUCUGGCUAAUACCUGGAGCUGCUGACGGUACCUGCCGAAUAACCACCGCCUACUCCCGUCCCGCCACCCGCGGUAACAGGUAGGGUGCAAGCGUUAAUCGGAAUUACUGGGCGUAAAGCGUGCGCAGGCGGUUCGGCAAGAAGGAUGUGAAAUCCCAGGGCUUAACCUUGGAACUGCAUUCUUAACUGCCGGGCUAGAGUAUGUCAGAGGGGGGUAGAAUUCCGCGUGUAGCAGUGAAAUGCGUAGAGAUGCGGAGGAAUACCGAUGGCGAAGGCAGCCCCCUGGGAUAAUACUGACGCUCAUGCACGAAAGCGUGGGGAGCAAAC
This 422-nucleotide ribosomal RNA is filed under the name uncultured bacterium. Its description in RNAcentral is "bacterial SSU rRNA". It matches the Rfam family "Bacterial small subunit ribosomal RNA", at positions 359 to 773 of the family's 1533-position model. The record is from RNAcentral.